Molecule: non-coding RNA, 24 nt
Filed under: Arabidopsis thaliana (thale cress)
Lineage: Eukaryota; Viridiplantae; Streptophyta; Magnoliopsida; Brassicales; Brassicaceae
Source: RNAcentral
AGAAACAGUUGGCGUCGAACCUGA